RNAcentral lists this long non-coding RNA (1671 nucleotides) under Harpegnathos saltator (Jerdon's jumping ant). Its description in RNAcentral is "uncharacterized LOC105183990". The record is from RNAcentral. Lineage: Eukaryota; Metazoa; Arthropoda; Insecta; Hymenoptera; Formicidae.
GAAGGUCUCGCUCCUUCUCGGAGCACACCUUGGUCUAAAACUUCAAUAAUUCAUCUUAUAUAUCAUCUUUAGAACUCAUCACAAUGGCCGUCGAGAAAUGUAUCAAGAAGGAGGAUGAAGAUGAAUUUAUGCUAUCUCAUUGAUUUAUCUUUCACGCUCGGCGUAUCUGCGAAGAAAUCAGAAGUUUCAGUGAUUUUCAGGCGACAAUAAAAAUGACAGCGUGGAAAAAAGCUGUAAUAAGAUCGUACGAAAAUUCAUGCAUUAAUUAUUGCCGUGAAGACAGAUGCUGUUCCAAGCUUAGCAUCUUGAUGCGGAUUACGAUGCUAUUUACUCGAUUAAGAGUACGUGUGAAAUUGCCGCGAAGAAGAUAUCAAGUUGGAUGAUACGUUAUUGGUUAUAAUAUGCAAGAUGAUUUCACAUUAUCGCAAAGAAUCUCUCAUACGAUAUAUAUCAUAACAACAUAUUUUAUUAAUACUUUUUGUGCUAAAAAUAUCUUUUGAAUAAAUAUUAAACUACGUGGUUGUAUAUUACCAUGAAAUAAUAAAUUGUGUUCGACAAUACUAUUGGCCAUAAUACAACGUUUCUUUUAAUGGUUAUAUACAGGGUGAUCCAGUAACUAUUAGCACUUUGAAUAUCUUCGAAACUAUGAGUGUCAGAAAAACAUUUGUCCAACAGAAGUUGCAUCGUACAGAAGGGGUCAUCAAAUGGUAGUUACGAAUUUUUUGGAUGGAGUUGCCUUCAAGAUAUGAAGGUCAUUUAUUUGUUUAAAUGGAAUGCUAUGUUUUUAUGUCUACCAUCAGAUAGCGGCUGCUAAAACGAAUACAAUGACCUACAACACAAGGUCAUUCAAAAUCAUUAAGGUCGCUUAUGUUUACAGAAGGUGCCCAAAGUGAUGAUCGUCGGCAAUAUUGUAGUCUUUCUAUCACCGGUUCACAGUCGCACGUCUUAUCACUUCGGAAUUUAUUGAAACACAUGCUGUAAUAAUCCAUUGUCGCAUAUCUGCAAGUGUAGUUGAUGCUUCUUUGUAUACAAUAUUCUUUAUGGUUCCCCAUAAGAAAAAGUCUAAAGCCGUUAGAUCUGGGGAACGAGCCGGCCAUGGUACAGGUCCUCCACGUCCAAUUCAGCGACUUGGGAACCUUUGACAUAACUCAUUUCUGGCAACUGAAAUAAUGCGUCAGGCAUCCAUCGUGUUGAUACCACAUUAUUUAUCGUGUAUCUAAUGGUAAAUCUCCCAGCAAAGGAUCUAACGUUUCUCGAAUAAAUGUACCGUACAUAUUACCAUUUAGAUUUCCUUCAAUGAAAUAAGGACCAAUAAUUUUAUCAGUAAUGAUUCCAUACCAUACAUUUAGCGACCAUUGCCUUUGAUUUUGGACUUGCCAUAGCCAUUUAGGAUUUUCCAUUGACCAGAAAUGUAUGUUAUGUAAAUUAACAUUACCGUGAUUCGUAAAUGUGCUUCGUCCGUAAAUAAUAACAAAUGAAAGAAUAAAUUAUAAUUCUGUAUCUGACGUAGAGUCCAUUGACAAAAUUCUACCUGAUUCAUAAAAUUCAUGUCAUUUAAUUCUUGAUGGAGAUUGAAGUGGUAUGGGUGAUGCUUAUGACGGUAAAGAAUGCGGAAAAUAUUGCUCUUGCUAACGCCAGACUCACGUGCUAUUUGACGUGAACUACUAGGUG